Molecule: long non-coding RNA, 968 nt
Filed under: Homo sapiens (human)
Lineage: Eukaryota; Metazoa; Chordata; Mammalia; Primates; Hominidae
Description: HSALNT0388853
Source: RNAcentral
GAGGCGCCGCAAGCCUUCACGCCCCUCGGGCCUUGCAGAUCCCUCUCCCAGUUUCCGCGGCGGUCCGGUGCGGUCAGUACCUGUCUAAAAUCAAUAUUGCCGAGGCCUCCGCAGCAGUCAGGCCCUGCCACCGAGCUGUUCGUUACCUCGGCUCCCGGGUUCCCAGAUCUCUUCAUCCGGGGGCCGCCUCAGGAGGCACCACGCGGGCCCCGCUGCAGCCACGCGCCCCCGGAACCGGACCUAUAGAGCCGGGUAAGUGCCGCCAGUCGGGGCGCUUUCCCGGUGACCCCCAACAUAUUCCGGCCUUCUGGGAAAUGUAGUUCCCCGUCACCGCGAAGUGCCUCUUUAUCUGGGGGCUCGCGACAGCGUCUAGAGGAGCCGAGAACUACAAGUCCCAGUGUGUUUCGCCGCAGAGCCUGCCGGUUCCGCUGCAGCUACGUAGCAGUAUCCCCUUGGAUCCGGCCUCCCGCCCAGUGCCUUUGGUCGCCGGCUGCCGCACCCGAGCCUGUAACUGACCUGGCGUCCCUGCCCUUGCCUGGCGGCGGUGGGGCUAGAGGCCGGGGGCCGCGGGUCGUAGCUAUAAGCAGCUUCCCGCGCAGCCUCCUGCGGACUUGGACUUGGCCCGGGUCACACACGCCCAGGGCCCCACACGCCCAGGGCCCCACGCCCUCUUCUGAAAUUCGCUUUACUCUGGGGGCGGUGCGCGACGAGCACUGCCUAGAGCUUCCCGCCCCCGCGGCGCCCAGGCUCUUUAGCUCGGCCAAAGACCCCUCCUCCACUCAUUUUUUCCUUCAUUCAUUCUCUCAUUCACUCUCGAGUAUUUUCUGAACCAGACUGUGCGCUGAGGGUACGGUAGGGAACAACACAGAGUCCCCCGCCCUCGCUUCCUCCUGACUGAGAUAAAAGACAAAAUGUGAAUAAAGGGUUAUAAUAUGGAUGAGUACUGUGGUGGAAAAAACGGGGUGGGU